CGUCUAUAUACGUAUAGCAUAUCAAUAAGCGGAGGAAAAGAAACUAACUAGGAUUCCCUCAGUAACGGCGAGUGAAGCGGGAAGAGCUCAAAUUUGAAAUCUUCAAGGUUUUACCUUGACGAAUUGUAGUUUAAAGAAGUGUUUUCUGUUGGAGUUUUGGUAAAAGUUCUUUGGAAUAGGACAUCAUAGAGGGUGAGAAUCCCGUAUUUGACCAUUAUUUCCAACUUUGUGAUACACUUUCAAAGAGUCGGAUUGUUUGGGAAUGCAGUCCAAAAUGGGUGGUAAAUUUCAUCUAAAGCUAAAUACUGGCGAGAGACCGAUAGCGAACAAGUACCGUGAGGGAAAGAUGAAAAGAACUUUGAAAAGAGAGUUAAACAGUACGUGAAAUUGUCAAAAGGGAAGCGUUUGACACCAGUGUUGUUUUCUCGAAAAUCAAUUAAAAAUGGUGGGAUUUUGUGUUGUAUUGACUUUAUCAGCUUUCUGCACUUUUUUCCUGUCUUUUUUAAUGCACUUUUCGUUUAACAAGUCAACAUCAAUUUCUUUUGUUGUAAAAGAGGUCAUUGGAAGGUGGCUUUCUUUUCGGAGAAAGUGUUUAUAGCCUUUGACUUCUGCAAUCGGAGAGAUUGAGGUCUGCAGCGUAGAUCCUUCGGGGUUAGAUACAUUUGUGCUAAGUUAUAGCCUUUCAUAGACAACUUGUUGACUAUGAUCAGUCAUGUAGCUUACUCGCUUAUGUUAUUUUACCUACGCUUAGGAUGUUGACGAUCAGCUGAGCGCG
RNAcentral lists this ribosomal RNA (775 nucleotides) under uncultured Neocallimastigales. Its description in RNAcentral is "partial large subunit ribosomal RNA". It matches the Rfam family "Eukaryotic large subunit ribosomal RNA", at positions 26 to 627 of the family's 3401-position model. The record is from RNAcentral. Lineage: Eukaryota; Fungi; Neocallimastigomycota; Neocallimastigomycetes; Neocallimastigales.